This 698-nucleotide ribosomal RNA is filed under the name uncultured bacterium. Its description in RNAcentral is "bacterial SSU rRNA". It matches the Rfam family "Bacterial small subunit ribosomal RNA", at positions 134 to 852 of the family's 1533-position model. The record is from RNAcentral.
UACACACGGAUAACAUACCGAAAGGUAUGCUAAUACGGGAUAAUAUAUUUGAGAGGCAUCUCUUAAAUAUCAAAGGUGAGCCAGUACAGGAUGGACCCGCGUCUGAUUAGCUAGUUGGUAAGGUAACGGCUUACCAAGGCGACGAUCAGUAGCCGACCUGAGAGGGUGAUCGGCCACAUUGGAACUGAGACACGGUCCAAACUCCUACGGGAGGCAGCAGUGGGGAAUAUUGCACAAUGGGCGAAAGCCUGAUGCAGCAACGCCGCGUGAGUGAUGAAGGCCUUCGGGUCGUAAAACUCUGUCCUCAAGGAAGAUAAUGACGGUACUUGAGGAGGAAGCCCCGGCUAACUACGUGCCAGCAGCCGCGGUAAUACGUAGGGGGCUAGCGUUAUCCGGAUUUACUGGGCGUAAAGGGUGCGUAGGCGGUCUUUCAAGUCAGGAGUGAAAGGCUACGGCUCAACCGUAGUAAGCUCUUGAAACUGGGAGACUUGAGUGCAGGAGAGGAGAGUGGAAUUCCUAGUGUAGCGGUGAAAUGCGUAGAUAUUAGGAGGAACACCAGUUGCGAAGGCGGCCCUCUGGACUGUAACUGACGCUGAGGCACGAAAGCGUGGGGAGCAAACAGGAUUAGAUACCCUGGUAGUCCACGCUGUAAACGAUGAAUACUAGGUGUCGGGGGUUACCCCCUUCGGUGCCGCAGC